AAAAAUCAUGUUUAGCAUGUCUGUUCACUGUCUCUCAUAUGUCAUCUGCUAGGAAAGACUAUCCCCAAGAGCAAACAUUAAUUGAUUUUAAUUCUUUCUCUCCACUCGGUUCUAAUAGCAUGAAACAGCUCUGCAAGAAUUGGCUGAUGAUGUUGGUUGAAGGAAGAGCAGGUGUAUGACCAUUUCAGUUGCUGCUCAUUUCCCCUACUUAUGCCAGGAGCACAUGGCUUAACAUUUGAAGGGAAGCAGAGACUGAUACCACUGCCAACAAGAAAUUAAAUGAAAUCUGAACAGGAUAAAUCCUGCUGCUACAGUUGGUGAUGUAUGACAGAGAAAGGAGCUCUCAAGGCUUCAGUUGCUCCUUACUAGUUCUCUCUACCUGCCUGCCUCUGCUGAAGAGCAGCACCAGAGAAACAGCUUUUCUUCCUCCAGGAUUCUGCUGGGAAUAAUGGGAGACACCACAAUGGAUAAAAAUCAAGCCCCACAUAGAUAAUUUACUACAACUGCCCAUCAUCAUAAUUUCUGUCUUAGGGUAUAUCUGCCCUGAAA
Molecule: long non-coding RNA, 549 nt
Organism: Passer domesticus (house sparrow)
Lineage: Eukaryota; Metazoa; Chordata; Aves; Passeriformes; Passeridae
Exons: 4
Source: RefSeq, a predicted model, not a curated record